GAUGAACGCUGGCGGCGUGCCUAAUACAUGCAAGUCGAGCGAACAGACGAGGAGCUUGCUCCUUUGACGUUAGCGGCGGACGGGUGAGUAACACGUGGGUAACCUACCUAUAAGACUGGGAUAACUUCGGGAAACCGGAGCUAAUACCGGAUAAUAUUUUGAACCGCAUGGUUCAAUAGUGAAAGACGGCUUUGCUAUCACUUAUAGAUGGAUCCGCGCCGUAUUAGCUAGUUGGUAAGGUAACGGCUUACCAAGGCAACGAUACGUAGCCGACCUGAGAGGGUGAUCCGGCACACUUGAACCUGGGAAAGGGUCCAGCCUCCAUCGGGAGCAAGCAGUGGGGAACUUUCCGAAAUGGGCGAAGGCUUGACGAGCCACGGCGGGUGGGGUAAGGAAGUUCUUCGGUUCGUAAAACCCUGUAAUUGGGAAAAACAAAUGGGGAAGGAAACAGGCACGGCUUGAAGGUUACCAAAUAGAAAGGCAACGGUAACUAACUU
RNAcentral lists this ribosomal RNA (497 nucleotides) under uncultured bacterium. RNAcentral describes it as "partial 16S ribosomal RNA". It matches the Rfam family "Bacterial small subunit ribosomal RNA", at positions 28 to 507 of the family's 1533-position model. The record is from RNAcentral.